RNAcentral lists this non-coding RNA (148 nucleotides) under Chlorocebus sabaeus (green monkey). The record is from Rfam by way of RNAcentral. Lineage: Eukaryota; Metazoa; Chordata; Mammalia; Primates; Cercopithecidae.
GCUGGGUGUGGUGGUGCAUGCCUGUAGUCCUAGCUACUCAGGAAGCUGAGGCCAGAGGAUUGGUUGAGCUCAGGAGGUUGAGGCUGCAGUGAGUCGUGAUCAUGCCACUGCACUCCAGCCUGGGCUACAGAGCAAGACCCUGUCUCUU